AUUGAACGCUGGCGGCAGGCCUAACACAUGCAAGUCGAACGGUAACAGGAAACAGCUUGCUGUUUCGCUGACGAGUGGCGGACGGGUGAGUAAUGUCUGGGAAACUGCCUGAUGGAGGGGGAUAACUACUGGAAACGGUAGCUAAUACCGCAUAACGUCGCAAGACCAAAGAGGGGGACCCUCGGGCCUCUUGCCAUCGGAUGUGCCCAGAUGGGAUUAGCUUGUUGGUGGGGUAACGGCUCACCAAGGCGACGAUCCCUAGCUGGUCUGAGAGGAUGACCAGCCACACUGGAACUGAGACACGGUCCAGACUCCUACGGGAGGCAGCAGUGGGGAAUAUUGCACAAUGGGCGCAAGCCUGAUGCAGCCAUGCCGCGUGUAUGAAGAAGGCCUUCGGGUUGUAAAGUACUUUCAGCGGGGAGGAAGGGAGUAAAGUUAAAACCUUUGCUCAUUGACGUUACCCGCAGAAGAAGCACCGGCUAACUCCGUG
RNAcentral lists this ribosomal RNA (490 nucleotides) under uncultured bacterium. RNAcentral's name for it is "partial 16S ribosomal RNA". It matches the Rfam family "Bacterial small subunit ribosomal RNA", at positions 30 to 507 of the family's 1533-position model. The record is from RNAcentral.